This 482-nucleotide ribosomal RNA is filed under the name uncultured bacterium. RNAcentral describes it as "partial 16S ribosomal RNA". It matches the Rfam family "Bacterial small subunit ribosomal RNA", at positions 30 to 507 of the family's 1533-position model. The record is from RNAcentral.
AUUGAACGCUGGCGGCAUGCUUUACACAUGCAAGUCGAACGGUAGCAGGCCGCAAGGUGCUGACGAGUGGCGAACGGGUGAGUAAUGCAUCGGAACGUGCCCAGUCGUGGGGGAUAACUACUCGAAAGAGUAGCUAAUACCGCAUACGAUCUAUGGAUGAAAGCGGGGGACCGUAAGGCCUCGCGCGAUUGGAGCGGCCGAUGUCAGAUUAGGUAGUUGGUGGGGUAAAGGCUCACCAAGCCAACGAUCUGUAGCUGGUCUGAGAGGACGACCAGCCACAUUGGGACUGAGACACGGCCCAGACUCCUACGGGAGGCAGCAGUGGGGAAUUUUGGACAAUGGGCGCAAGCCUGAUCCAGCAAUGCCGCGUGCAGGAAGAAGGCCUUCGGGUUGUAAACUGCUUUUGUACGGAACGAAACGGCUCUGGUUAAUACCCGGGGCUAAUGACGGUACCGUAAGAAUAAGCACCGGCUAACUACGUG